GCUGUAGAGUGUUUGCCAUAUAGACCUUCCAACGUUUAGCCCAUUAUUCCUUUCUUUAGGGUCAAUACAGCUUCCACAUUCAUAGCACAGGACACUGUGGACACAGACGUGAAGAGGUAUUCUUGGAGUGCAAUGCUUUCUACCCAGGGCUCAGCAUGCUACUGCAACAUCAAGGAAUAAUACUCACUAUUUCAAGAUAACUCUUCUGAUUUUCAGAAAUUUUGCUUUUCUGAGGGGUGAAAAAUUUGAAACUCUUCUGUUAAAAUAUACAUUGAAAAGUCACAAUAGCACAAAGAUUUCUCUUGCUUUGAAAUGCUGGACAAGUAGUCCCUAGCAUUUUGGGAAGCACAGUCCACAGACUGAGAUGCAAAAGUCCUAAAUCACAACAAAGUUACUUUGUAACAUAUUGGGUGCAAAGAAGAGGAAGACAGGCUCUUUUCAGUGGCAACGGGCACAAACUAAAAC
Molecule: long non-coding RNA, 465 nt
Filed under: Anser brachyrhynchus (Pink-footed goose)
Lineage: Eukaryota; Metazoa; Chordata; Aves; Anseriformes; Anatidae
Description: lncRNA (ENSABRG00000015846.1)
Source: RNAcentral